This 401-nucleotide long non-coding RNA is filed under the name Prunus persica (peach). RNAcentral describes it as "long non-coding RNA (PPER_LNC007357)". The record is from RNAcentral. Lineage: Eukaryota; Viridiplantae; Streptophyta; Magnoliopsida; Rosales; Rosaceae.
UGUUGUUUCCUUUACUGUUUUUUCGAAAUGUGGGAGUGAAAUGUACAUGUGACUCAUAUAUGUCACCCCUCUCAUCAGGUGUAUUGGCACUUGGUUUCAGUGUAAUUCUUGUAGUUUCUUUCACUGUUUUCUCGAAAUGUGAAAGUUAAACAUACCUGCAACUUUCUCCCUCUCUUUCUCAUCAUGUGUAUUGGCACUUGGUUUCAGUGUGUGGGCCUUGUUCUUUCCAUUACUAUUUUCUCAAAAUGUGGGAGUGAAACGUACGUACGACUCAUUUGUGUCACCCCUCUAUCUCAUCAUGUGUAUAGACACUUGAUUUUAGUGUAUGGUUCUUGUUGUUUCUUUAUUGUUUUCUCAAAGUAUGGGGAGUGAAAUGUACCUACAACUCAUUUAUGUCACUC